This is a non-coding RNA of Plectropomus leopardus (leopard coralgrouper), 290 nucleotides long. NCBI's taxonomy places the organism in Eukaryota, Metazoa, Chordata, Actinopteri, Perciformes, Serranidae. The record is from RefSeq and is a predicted model, not a curated record.
CAUUUAUACACAACACAGUCUUAUUAUCUCUAAUACUGAUUUUGGAGAGUUUAAAGAAUCCCCAAAUCACCACUGAUAAAAAUCUUAACUAACGUAUCAUAUAAAUGAUACACACCCAUGUUUUCUUCUCUGUUCACAGCCUAAACCUCCUCCAAAGCCUGCCGAGAGAAAAAGAAAUGACCCAGAAAGACUAGAGAAACCAACUCCUGUGGUGCCUCAACGACCAACAGACACUGAACUGAGUCAGACACAAUACCAGAUGAAAAUAUCAGCAGCAUCAAACAAUGAGG